This 369-nucleotide unclassified non-coding RNA is filed under the name Hevea brasiliensis (rubber tree). The record is from RNAcentral. Lineage: Eukaryota; Viridiplantae; Streptophyta; Magnoliopsida; Malpighiales; Euphorbiaceae.
CAUCGGAUAGACUAUUGAGAUUGCCGGCGGACCAACGGAGAGUGACAGUUCCGGUGAACAUUGACCAAAAUGCCAAAAGCAAAAUGGCAGCUAAAGCCCAGAACUUAUACCGGCCUUUCCCAAAUAUAUUAGAAUCGGAGCUUUCCUUCUUCGUAAUUGUCGCCGUUCCCGUUACCGUCGCCGCCGCUGUGGAUGUUGGAAGAGAAUCAUCAUCCUUCAUUUUGACUUCAAAUCAACUCAAUUUCACAAUUUUGUUAAAAAGAAAGGUUAUUUUGUCUUAUGGUGUGUCUUUAGGAAGAGUACUGUGUGCUGUUGAGAAAAAGAAAAUAGAAGGGGUUGAGAUUCUUCUUCUUCUUCUUCUUCUUCUUC